This is a long non-coding RNA of Aquila chrysaetos chrysaetos, 186 nucleotides long. RefSeq lists it as uncharacterized. The transcript has 3 exons. NCBI's taxonomy places the organism in Eukaryota, Metazoa, Chordata, Aves, Accipitriformes, Accipitridae. The record is from RefSeq and is a predicted model, not a curated record.
CCUUCUGCAGCUUCACCCGGGACUCGCCACACCGCAGAGGAAGAUGAAGGUCGCGGUGCUCAGCCUGGCCCUGCUCUUCACCGUCCUGCUGUGCAUGCCAGAAGAUGCUCAGGCACUCCCGGAAGGAAGUGGAGAAGUUAACCUGAGGGAUCUUCUGACCGAGGAGGAGUUAAGACAAUUUCUGCG